Molecule: long non-coding RNA, 557 nt
Filed under: Pan troglodytes (chimpanzee)
Lineage: Eukaryota; Metazoa; Chordata; Mammalia; Primates; Hominidae
Description: lincRNA
Source: RNAcentral
AAUAAUGAUAUCAUUUUGGUAAGAUUCUUCCAGACAGUAUGAUUAGGAUGUUACAUAAAUCAAACUGUGCUAUAUACAGUAUGCAGAGAAGGACAAUUCCUUAGCUUGUCUAAAGUCUGAUAGUGUGAAGAAUUUGCUGACCUGCUCUCCAUGCCUGUCUGAGCACGAGUGAAGUGAAUCAGAGAGUGAUUGCAAGAUGGAGAAAGGAGGUACAGUUGGAGAGAGUGGAGGGGGCAGGAAAGACCAGACAGAGCUGCAUCUCCCAUGAAAACAACUGUGUACAUAUGAUAGAGUGAGUACAUAGAGUACAUAGAAGAGUGAGCUCUGAAAGAACUCUCACAUGGACCCCCAGAAAGAGGAGUACUCAACGCCUGCUGCACAGAAGGCAUCAGCAGUUAAGUACUGGCUAGAAAAGCGGAGUCCAUCAAAGGAGAGGACCACAGUGGUAGCUGCCUGUUACAAGCUAUUGAGGCACUCCAGAGUGACGGCAUGUGAUCCCCCUGACACAAGAAACAGGCCCAGAUAACACACCGUUCAGACCGACAGCAGUUCUGGUU